Molecule: ribosomal RNA, 422 nt
Filed under: uncultured bacterium
Lineage: Bacteria
Description: partial 16S ribosomal RNA
Rfam family: Bacterial small subunit ribosomal RNA
Source: RNAcentral
AAUAUUGGACAAUGGGGGCAACCCUGACCACGCCUUGCCGCGGGGGUGAAGAGGGUCUUGGGUUUGAAAAGCACUUUACGUUGGGAGGAAGGGCUUUCGGCUAAUACCCUAACGGUUUGUCGUUACCAACAGAAUAAGCACCGGCUAACUCUGUGCCAGCAGCCGCGGUAAUACGGAGGGGGCAAGCGUCGUUGGGCUUUACUGGGCGUACAGGGCGCGUAGGCGGAUGUCCGCGUGAGAGGUGAAAGCCCCGGGCUCAACCUGGGAACUGCCUUUGAAACGGGACAUCUUGAGUUCGGAAGAGGGUAGCGGAAUUCCCAGUGUAGAGGUGAAAUUCGUAGAUAUUGGGAAGAACACCAGUAGCGAAGGCGGCUACCUGGUCCGACACUGACGCUGAGGCGCGAAAGCGUGGGGAGCAAACA